This 468-nucleotide ribosomal RNA is filed under the name uncultured bacterium. Its description in RNAcentral is "partial 16S ribosomal RNA". It matches the Rfam family "Bacterial small subunit ribosomal RNA", at positions 28 to 507 of the family's 1533-position model. The record is from RNAcentral.
GACGAACGCUGGCGGCGUGCUUAACACAUGCAAGUCGAACGGAAAGGCCCUGCUUUUGUGGGGUGCUCGAGUGGCGAACGGGUGAGUAACACGUGAGUAACCUGCCCUUGACUUUGGGAUAACUUCAGGAAACUGGGGCUAAUACCGGAUAGGAGCUCCUGCUGCAUGGUGGGGGUUGGAAAGUUUCGGCGGUUGUGGAUGGACUCGCGGCUUAUCAGCUUGUUUGUGGGGUAGUGGCUUACCAAGGCUUUGACGGGUAGCCGGCCUGAGAGGGUGACCGGGCACCAUGGGACUGAGGUAGGGACCAGACUGCAACGGGAGGCAGCAGUGGGGAAUAUUGCACAAUGGGCGGAAGCCUGAUGCAGCAACGCCGGGUGCGGGAUGACGGCCUUCGGGUUGUAAACCGCUUUCGCCUGUGACGAAGCGUGAGUGACGGUAAUGGGUAAAGAAGCACCGGCUAACUACGUG